AACCAAAAUUUCACUUCAGUUCAAAAUUUUGAUGAAUACUUGUUCUAGUUACAUUGAUUGACAAUUUAACCACACUGUCUUUGUAAGAGGAAAUCCUGGAGCUUAAAAAAAGAAUGAAGCGAGAUCUUAUAUACAGACAAUGUACUGAUGUUAUUAUAGAGUUAUUACUCUUGGCUUAUCUUCUCUUGUUGUACUAAAAUUUAAGAUAUACUAACUCCUUAUGCCUCUUGGUUUCAGCAUACCGAAAACUUGCUAGGAG
This 259-nucleotide unclassified non-coding RNA is filed under the name Hevea brasiliensis (rubber tree). Lineage: Eukaryota; Viridiplantae; Streptophyta; Magnoliopsida; Malpighiales; Euphorbiaceae. The record is from RNAcentral.